This 496-nucleotide ribosomal RNA is filed under the name uncultured bacterium. RNAcentral's name for it is "partial 16S ribosomal RNA". It matches the Rfam family "Bacterial small subunit ribosomal RNA", at positions 29 to 507 of the family's 1533-position model. The record is from RNAcentral.
AUGAACGCUGGCGGCGUGCCUAAUCCAUGCAAGUCGAGCGAACGGACGAGAAGCUUGCUUCUCUGAUGUUAGCGGCGGACGGGUGAGUAACACGUGGAUAACCUACCUAUAAGACUGGGAUAACUUCGGGAAACCGGAGCUAAUACCGGAUGAUAUUUUGAACCGCAUGGUUCAAAAGUGAAAGACGGUCUUGCUGUCACUUAUAGAUGGAUCCGCGCUGCAUUAGCUAGUUGGUAAGGUAACGGCUUACCAAGGCAAUGAUGCGUAGCCGACCUGAGAGGGUGAUCGGCCACACUGGAACUGAGACACGGUCCAGACUCCUACGGGAGGCAGCAGUAGGGAAUCUUCCGCAAUGGGCGAAAGCCUGACGGAGCAACGCCGCGUGAGUGAUGAAGGUCUUCGGAUCGUAAAACUCUGUUAUUAGGGAAGAACAUAUGUGUAAGUAACUGUGCACAUCUUGACGGUACCUAAUCAGAAAGCCACGGCUAACUACGUG